This 253-nucleotide ribosomal RNA is filed under the name uncultured bacterium. RNAcentral's name for it is "partial 16S ribosomal RNA". It matches the Rfam family "Bacterial small subunit ribosomal RNA", at positions 524 to 776 of the family's 1533-position model. The record is from RNAcentral.
UACGUAUGGUGCAAGCGUUAUCCGGAUUUACUGGGUGUAAAGGGAGCGCAGGCGGCACGGCAAGCCUGAUGUGAAAGCCCGCGGCCCAACCGCGGGACUGCAUUGGGAACUACCGGGCUGGAGUGCCGGAGAGGUAGGCGGAAUUCCUAGUGUAGCGGUGAAAUGCGUAGAUAUUAGGAAGAACACCGGUGGCGAAGGCGACUUUCUGGACUGUAACUGACGUUGAGGCACGAAAGUGUGGGGAGCAAACAGG